AUGAGAACAAGGGGAGAGACUGCCGGCGGCUUCAUUGGAUGUAUGCCGCAAACGCAGCGCCGAAGGAGCAAACAUCUGUGAAUCUCUCAGGCAAAAGAACUCUUGUUUGACG
RNAcentral lists this non-coding RNA (112 nucleotides) under Bacillus sp. (in: firmicutes). RNAcentral's name for it is "Bacillus sp. Glycine sequence". It matches the Rfam family "Glycine riboswitch aptamer". From Rfam's summary of the family: This family represents the bacterial glycine riboswitch. Glycine riboswitches usually consist of two metabolite-binding aptamers domains with similar structures in tandem. Lineage: Bacteria; Bacillati; Bacillota; Bacilli; Caryophanales; Bacillaceae. The record is from RNAcentral.